This 393-nucleotide ribosomal RNA is filed under the name uncultured bacterium. Its description in RNAcentral is "partial 16S ribosomal RNA". It matches the Rfam family "Bacterial small subunit ribosomal RNA", at positions 523 to 918 of the family's 1533-position model. The record is from RNAcentral.
AUACGGAGGAUGCAAGCGUUAUCCGGAUUUAUUGGGUUUAAAGGGUGCGUAGGCGGUUUGUUAAGCGGGAGGUGAAAUGCCGGCGCUCAACGUCGGAAGUGCCUCCCGAACUGGUGGACUGGAAUGACUCUGCCGUGGGAGGAAUGUGUAGUGUAGCGGUGAAAUGCUUAGAGAUUACACAGAACACCGAUUGCGAAGGCAUCUCACGAAGGGUUGAUUGACGCUGAGGCACGAAAGCGUGGGGAUCAAACAGGAUUAGAUACCCUGGUAGUCCACGCAGUAAACGAUGAUGGCUAACCGCUGGUUUAUUCGGAUCAGUGGCCAAGCGAAAGCGAUAAGCCAUCCACCUGGGGAGUACGACCGCAAGGUUGAAACUCAAAUGAAUUGACGGGG